RNA transcript from Glycine soja, 2167 nucleotides. It is a transcript of the gene named pectin acetylesterase 8-like, with no coding region annotated. The record is from RefSeq and is a predicted model, not a curated record. NCBI's taxonomy places the organism in Eukaryota, Viridiplantae, Streptophyta, Magnoliopsida, Fabales, Fabaceae. The transcript is spliced from 18 exons.
UGUGGUUUUUGAGCCAAUGAGUGUCGGCUCUUGGUUUUCUCAGACCAAACUGAAAAAAACGUUUGUACUUAAUCUCCCUCAGUUUCACAAAACUGACACCAUAAUUCGUUUACUUUAGUAACUGAAAAAUUAAGAGCCAAUUCAGUAUUCUCCCUCCACAGAUACAACCAUUUUUUUUCCUCCAAACACUGUCUCAGAAACAGACUUGUUAACCAUUGGUAGUUACAUUCUGUUUCUACACCCUUUUUUAUAAGCCAUCAUCACCCUUCCACUGGCUUUCAUCAACAAAUUUUCUUCAAUCAAAGUACCACCACUACUUGGUUUCCCCAACCCAGUCUCCAUCUCAGAAUGGAGAAUGUGAGAAUAAGGCAGUGGUUGAACCUUCUGGUGUGUGCACUGCUGUUGCUGAUAUCAGAAGCUUCUUAUGUGCCAAUCACUAUUGUUCAGAACGCGGUAGCUAAAGGAGCUGUUUGUUUGGAUGGGAGUCCACCAGCUUACCAUUUUGAUAAGGGAUUUGGAUCAGGGAUUAACAAUUGGUUGGUUGCAUUUGAGGGAGGAGGAUGGUGCAACAAUGUCACUACUUGCCUUGCUCGCAAGACCAAUCGUCUAGGUUCAUCUAAGCAAAUGGCGAAGCAAAUUGCCUUUUCAGGAAUUUUGAACAACAGGGCAAUGUUUAAUCCAGAUUUCUACAACUGGAACAGAAUCAAGGUUAGGUAUUGUGAUGGUUCGUCAUUUACUGGUGAUGUGGAAGCAGUGAAUCCGGUAACUAAGUUGCACUUCAGAGGAGCAAGGAUUUUCAAUGCUGUCAUGGAAGAUUUACUAGCAAAAGGAAUGAAAAAUGCUCGAAAUGCUAUUAUCUCAGGAUGCUCAGCCGGAGGAUUAACAUCAGUACUGCAUUGUGAUCGAUUUCGAGCUCUAUUACCUAGAGGAGCUAGAGUGAAAUGCCUCUCAGAUGCUGGUUACUUUAUCAAUGCAAAGGAUGUUUUGGGAGAACAACACAUUGAGCAGUAUUUCAGUCAAGUUGUUGUCACACAUGGCUCUGCCAGGAGUUUGCCUCAAUCAUGCACUUCAAGACUUAGCGCAAAACUCUGCUUUUUCCCACAAUAUUUGGUGUCACGCAUUACUACACCAAUCUUCUUUGUAAACGCGGCAUACGACUCAUGGCAGAUUAAGAACAUUUUGGCACCGGGUGUUGCUGAUCCUGAAGGCCAUUGGCAUAGCUGCAAGCUUGAUAUAAACAACUGCUCACCUGAUCAACUCGAUCUAAUGCAAGGGUUCAGGACAGAAUUUUUAAGGGCUAUAACUGUGCUUGGCAACUCUUCAUCCAAAGGAAUGUUCAUAGACUCUUGCUAUGCCCACUGCCAAACUGAAAUGCAGGAGACAUGGUUGAGAAGUGACUCUCCAGAGCUGAAAAAGACAACAAUUGCAAAGGCUGUAGCAGAUUGGUUUUAUGAAAGAAGACCUUUCCAUCAGAUAGAUUGCCCUUACCCUUGCAACCCCACUUGUCACAACCGCGUUUUCGAUCCACAAGAAGACCACCCAGGAAAAAAUGUGACCGCGAAAGGAACAUCAGAUGCAUCAGCCACAAAGUCCAAUUUCCCCAAACUAACAAACAAGGUACGAUGGAUUGAACUUGUGUGCAUUAAUCGUGGAAUCAGUGGGCUUCUACUAACGUUGGUUCUUCUGGUCAUCCUAUAAAAGCUGACUUGCUUUGCUGAUUAAAUAUGACACAGCUGGACCAUCUCUCCUACUGUUUUAAUUUCCAUAACAAGAUGGAAUAAAAGCUAAUCCCAUUGAAUUGAAUCACCUUUUGACUUCAUACAGACUGCCACAAACUCCGGACAUAGCUUCAUAAUUGGAUUCAGUCAGUGUGUGAAGUUCCAUUCAUCUUGUUAUUGAAGCUGCUGAUCAGUUAACUUGGCAAUUACCAAGUAAGGCGGAAAAUUUUUUAGAAUGCCACACAUGGAAGAUCUUUCCAUGGCAUGUACUAACAUAUAUAGCACCUAGCGGAUACUUUUUUUUGUCAUCAACUAAGGGCUAUAUUCAUUUGCUCUUUCUGUAAUAAACUAAUAUUUGAUCGUUAUAGUUUUGAAGGUUCAACAUGGAAAAAAUAAAAAUAAAAUAAAAUAAGAUCAUGGCCAUUUUCAUGUCUCUUUGAGUUGCUUAA